UACGAAGGGGGCUAGCGUUGUUCGGAAUUACUGGGCGUAAAGGGCGCGUAGGCGGCUCUUCAAGCCAGGCGUGAAAUCCCCGGGCUUAACCUGGGAAUUGCGCUUGAGACUGGCGAGCUUGAGUCCGGGAGAGGUGAGUGGAAUUCCCAGUGUAGAGGUGAAAUUCGUAGAUAUUGGGAAGAACACCAGUGGCGAAGGCGGCUCACUGGACCGGCACUGACGCUGAGGCGCGAAAGCGUGGGGAGCAAACAGG
RNAcentral lists this ribosomal RNA (253 nucleotides) under uncultured bacterium. RNAcentral's name for it is "partial 16S ribosomal RNA". It matches the Rfam family "Bacterial small subunit ribosomal RNA", at positions 524 to 776 of the family's 1533-position model. The record is from RNAcentral.